AGUGAACGCUGGCGGUAGGCCUAACACAUGCAAGUCGAACGGCAGCACAGUAAGAGCUUGCUCUUACGGGUGGCGAGUGGCGGACGGGUGAGGAAUACAUCGGAAUCUACUUUUUCGUGGGGGAUAACGUAGGGAAACUUACGCUAAUACCGCAUACGACCUACGGGUGAAAGCAGGGGAUCUUCGGACCUUGCGCGAUUGAAUGAGCCGAUGUCGGAUUAGCUAGUUGGCGGGGUAAAGGCCCACCAAGGCGACGAUCCGUAGCUGGUCUGAGAGGAUGAUCAGCCACACUGGAAAUGAGACACGGUCCAGACUCCUACGGGAGGCAGCAGUGGGGAAUAUUGGACAAUGGGCGCAAGCCUGAUCCAGCCAUACCGCGUGGGUGAAGAAGGCCUUCGGGUUGUAAAGCCCUUUUGUUGGGAAAGAACAGCAGCAGGUUAAUACCCCGCUGUUCUGACGGUACCCAAAGAAUAAGCACCGGCUAACUUCGUG
RNAcentral lists this ribosomal RNA (492 nucleotides) under uncultured bacterium. Its description in RNAcentral is "partial 16S ribosomal RNA". It matches the Rfam family "Bacterial small subunit ribosomal RNA", at positions 29 to 507 of the family's 1533-position model. The record is from RNAcentral.